GCCUUUGGGUUGUAAACCCCUUUUGUUAGGGAAGAAAAAAAUGACGGUACCUAACGAAUCAGCCUCGGCUAACUCCGUGCCAGCAGCCGCGGUAAUACGGAGGAGGCAAGCGUUAUCCGGAAUUAUUGGGCGUAAAGCGUCCGUAGGUGGCCCGGCAAGUCUGCUGUCAAAGACCACAGCUCAACUGUGGAAAGGCAGUGGAAACUGCAAGGCUAGAGUGCGGUAGGGGUAGAGGGAAUUCCCAGUGUAGCGGUGAAAUGCGUAGAGAUUGGGAAGAACACCGGUGGCGAAAGCGCUCUACUGGGCCGCAACUGACACUGAUGGACGAAAGCUAGGGGAGCGAAUGGGAUUAGAUACCCCCAGUAGUCA
RNAcentral lists this ribosomal RNA (369 nucleotides) under Desertifilum sp. K19. RNAcentral describes it as "bacterial SSU rRNA". It matches the Rfam family "Bacterial small subunit ribosomal RNA", at positions 414 to 796 of the family's 1533-position model. The record is from RNAcentral. Lineage: Bacteria; Bacillati; Cyanobacteriota; Cyanophyceae; Desertifilales; Desertifilaceae.